RNAcentral lists this ribosomal RNA (439 nucleotides) under uncultured bacterium. RNAcentral's name for it is "bacterial SSU rRNA". It matches the Rfam family "Bacterial small subunit ribosomal RNA", at positions 959 to 1397 of the family's 1533-position model. The record is from RNAcentral.
ACGCGAGGAACCUUACCAGGUCUUGACAUCCCAUUGACCGCUAUGGAGACAUAGCUUUCCCUUCGGGGACAGUGGUGACAGGUGGUGCAUGGUUGUCGUCAGCUCGUGUCGUGAGAUGUUGGGUUAAGUCCCGCAACGAGCGCAACCCUUGAUCUUAGUUGCCAGCAUUAAGUUGGGCACUCUAAGGUGACUGCCGGUGACAAACCGGAGGAAGGUGGGGAUGACGUCAAAUCAUCAUGCCCCUUAUGACCUGGGCUACACACGUGCUACAAUGGAUGGUACAAAGGGCAGCAAAACCGCGAGGUCGAGCAAAUCCCAUAAAACCAUUCUCAGUUCGGAUUGUAGGCUGCAACUCGCCUACAUGAAGCUGGAAUCGCUAGUAACCGCGGAUCAGCAUGCCGCGGUGAAUACGUUCCCGGGCCUUGUACACACCGCCCGU